AUUGAACGCUGGCGGCAUGCCUUACACAUGCAAGUCGAACGGCAGCGCGGUUGUUUGCACCUGGUGGUGAGUGGCGGACGGGUGAGUAAUACAUUGGAACAUGUCCUGUCGGGGGGUAUAUCCCGGCGAAAGCCGGAUUAAUACCCCAUAUGAUCCACGGAUUAAAGCGGGGGCCUUUCGUGCCUCGCGCUGUUGGGUUGGCCGAUGGCUGAUUAGCUAGUUGGUGGGGUAAAGGACUACCAAGGCGACGAGCAGUAGAUGGUCUGAGAGGACGACCAGCCCCCCUGGGAGUGAGACACGGCCCGGACUAAUACGGGAGGGAGGAGUGGGGAAUUGUGGACAAUGGGAGAAAGGCAGGUCCAGCCAUGCCGGGUGUGUGAAGGAGGCAUUCGGGUUGGAAAGGAAUUUUGUUCGGAAAGAAAUACUUGGCUCUAAUACAGUGGGGGGUUGACGGUACCGGAAGAAUAAGCACCGGCUAACUACGUG
RNAcentral lists this ribosomal RNA (486 nucleotides) under uncultured bacterium. RNAcentral's name for it is "partial 16S ribosomal RNA". It matches the Rfam family "Bacterial small subunit ribosomal RNA", at positions 30 to 507 of the family's 1533-position model. The record is from RNAcentral.